Molecule: small nucleolar RNA, 133 nt
Organism: Arvicanthis niloticus (Nile rat)
Lineage: Eukaryota; Metazoa; Chordata; Mammalia; Rodentia; Muridae
Product: small nucleolar RNA SNORA17
Source: RefSeq, a predicted model, not a curated record
UCUGGCCCUAGAAGCAUUGCAGGUAUGACUGCUGUGUCAUAUGUGUGUCAGUAGGUGGCAGAAAGAAGAGAGGUUAUGUCUACACUCAGUGUUCUGACCUGUGACCUCUGAACCUGUGUUUUGGUCUAACACU